RNAcentral lists this ribosomal RNA (475 nucleotides) under uncultured bacterium. Its description in RNAcentral is "bacterial SSU rRNA". It matches the Rfam family "Bacterial small subunit ribosomal RNA", at positions 57 to 518 of the family's 1533-position model. The record is from RNAcentral.
GCAAGUCGAACGGUAAGGCCGAGCGUAGCAAUACGUGAGGUACACGAGUGGCGCACGGGUGCGUAACGCGUAUGCAAUCCUGCCCCCCGAACCCGGGACAAAACAGGACUGGAAACGGCUGCUAAUAUCCCAUGGUCAUGAGAGACGGCAUCGUUUUUCAUGUAAAGAUUCAUUGGCGGGGAUGAGCAUGCGUAUUAUUAGGUAGUUGGUGGGUAACGGCCACCAAGCCGACGAUGAUUAGGGGUUCUGAGAGGAUUAACCCCCACACUGGAACUGAGACACGGUCCAGACUCCUACGGGAGGCAGCAGUAGGGAAUAUUGGGCAAUGGAGGCAACUCUGACCCAGCCAUGCCGCGUGAAGGAAGACGGCCCUAUGGGUUGUAAACUUCUUUUGCCGCAGAGUAAACCCGGUCACGUGUGGCCGGUUGAGAGUAUGCGGCGAAUAAGUAUCGGCUAACUCCGUGCCAGCCGCAGC